UUUGACACAUCUGACCUCAAAUCAGGUAGGACUACC
RNAcentral lists this ribosomal RNA (36 nucleotides) under homobasidiomycete sp. WRCF-B5. RNAcentral describes it as "partial 28S ribosomal RNA". The record is from RNAcentral. Lineage: Eukaryota; Fungi; Basidiomycota; Agaricomycetes.